AUUGAACGCUGGCGGCAUGCCUUACACAUGCAAGUCGAACGGUAACAGGUCUUCGGAUGCUGACGAGUGGCGAACGGGUGAGUAAUACAUCGGAACGUGCCUAGUAGUGGGGGAUAACUACUCGAAAGAGUGGCUAAUACCGCAUGAGAUCUACGGAGGAAAGCAGGGGAUCGCAAGACCUUGUGCUACUAGAGCGGCCGAUGGCAGAUUAGGUAGUUGGUGGGAUAAAAGCUUACCAAGCCGAUGAUCUGUAGCUGGUCUGAGAGGACGAUCAGCCACACUGGGACUGAGACACGGCCCAGACUCCUACGGGAGGCAGCAGUGGGGAAUUUUGGACAAUGGGCGCAAGCCUGAUCCAGCAAUGCCGCGUGCAGGAUGAAGGCCUUCGGGUUGUAAACUGCUUUUGUACGGAACGAAAGGCCCUGGGUUAAUACCCUGGGGUCAUGACGGUACCGUAAGAAUAAGCACCGGCUAACUACGUGCCAGCCGCCGCGGUAA
This 498-nucleotide ribosomal RNA is filed under the name uncultured bacterium. RNAcentral describes it as "partial 16S ribosomal RNA". It matches the Rfam family "Bacterial small subunit ribosomal RNA", at positions 30 to 523 of the family's 1533-position model. The record is from RNAcentral.